GCCGGAGUGGUGGAAUUGGUAGACACAAGGGACUUAAAAUCCCUCGCCUGGCGACGGGCGUGCCGGUUCGAGUCCGGCCUUCGGCACCA
RNAcentral lists this transfer RNA (89 nucleotides) under Nitrospirota bacterium. RNAcentral describes it as "Nitrospirae bacterium (groundwater metagenome) tRNA-Leu". It matches the Rfam family "tRNA". From Rfam's summary of the family: Transfer RNA (tRNA) molecules are approximately 80 nucleotides in length. Lineage: Bacteria; Pseudomonadati; Nitrospirota. The record is from RNAcentral. RNAcentral also lists the same sequence under 1 other name.